Aggregatibacter actinomycetemcomitans D11S-1 is the source of this 184-nucleotide non-coding RNA. NCBI's taxonomy places the organism in Bacteria, Pseudomonadati, Pseudomonadota, Gammaproteobacteria, Pasteurellales, Pasteurellaceae. The record is from Rfam.
AAUUUCCUGAGGUGUUCGCCAGUGGGUUACGUCCCUGAGCCGAUACUUUUAAUCUUAUGAAUUGGUUUCCUGUCAUUGGUGUGCAGGCUUAGCUCGACUAAGAAGCCUAAAAAUGAUUUCAACUAAUUCCCUUGAACCGUAGGGUUCAAGGACCGACCACCCGCAACGGCACCUCGGGGUCUCC